CUUACCACGCGUUAAGUAAGCAGACAGAGUCUCCAACACAGACCUAUGGGUUAAAACGCAGAGGGAAGAGAAAGGGAGGGGGUCCUGCGUCGGGGGAGCGGGACCUCGGCGAGGCUCCAGAGAGCUAACGGAAAGGGCCUCGAAGCCGCCUUGGAGGGUGGGGUUAAAGGAAGAUUCCUGGAAGAAAGACCUACGCUGGGACAUUUCUAUUUUUAAUUUUUACCCGAUUCCUAAAACAUCAAAGU
Molecule: long non-coding RNA, 245 nt
Filed under: Meriones unguiculatus (Mongolian gerbil)
Lineage: Eukaryota; Metazoa; Chordata; Mammalia; Rodentia; Muridae
Description: Hydatidiform mole associated and imprinted conserved region 1 (ENSMUGG00000025235.1)
Rfam family: Hydatidiform mole associated and imprinted conserved region 1
Source: RNAcentral